Molecule: ribosomal RNA, 1706 nt
Filed under: Parvicapsula petuniae
Lineage: Eukaryota; Metazoa; Cnidaria; Myxozoa; Bivalvulida; Parvicapsulidae
Description: SSU rRNA
Rfam family: Eukaryotic small subunit ribosomal RNA
Source: RNAcentral
GUAAGGUAGUGGCUUACCAAGGUUUUGACGGGUAACGGGGAAUCAGGGUUCGAUUCCGGAGAGGGAGCCUGAGAAACGGCUACCACUUCCAAGGAAGGCAGCAGGCGCGCAAAUUACCCAAUCCAGACAUUGGGAGGUAGUGACGAGAAAUACCGAGGUGGGAUGUAAAAAUUUCACUAUCGGAAUGAACGUAACUUAAAACCUUUGCUGAGUAACAACUGGAGGGCAAGUCUGGUGCCAGCAGCCGCGGUAAUUCCAGCUCCAGUAGUGUAUUUCAAAAUUGUUGCGGUUAAAACGCUCGUAGUCGGAUUAGAAGAACGUUAUGAAUUCCGACAACUGCGCGCGGUUUCGCGAUAGCAGCGAGUCGGGUGACGUUCUUUUGUCGCAAGUUCUGGCUGUAGGCUUUAUUGCUUGUAGCCGGCCACUUGCGAAGCGUGCCUUGAAUAAAGCAGAGUGCUCAAAGCAAGCGUAUCGCUAGAAUGUAAUAGCAUGGAACGAAUACAUGUUAGAGCAGGUAUUGCUCAGUUGGUUGGUGGGGCUGUUGUUGCGGCGAGGUCGAGUGUUUUUAAUGCUUGGCGCGUUGCGAUGAUGGUCGCUGAGUGUGGCUGCGGUAGGUUAAUUUCGGUUAACUUAUCGAAAAGUGCAUACAGAGCUGAGCAGCCUGUCGGUUAAGAGGGACAUUUGAGGGCGUUAGUACUUGGUGGCGAGAGGUGAAAUUCUUAGACCCACCAAAGACUGACAAAUGCGAAAGCAUUCGCCAAGAGUGUUUUCAUUGAUCAAGAACGAAAGUUGGAGGCUCGAAGACGAUCAGAUACCGUCCUAGUUCCAUACAGUAAACGAUGCCAACACGCGAUCAGUCUGAAGUUAUUUGGAUUGAGGUUGGUCGCCCAGGGAAACUGAAAGUGUUCUGGUUCUGGGGAGAGUACGGUCGCAAGGUUGAAAUUUAAAGGAAUUGACGGAAAGGCACCACCAGGAGUGGAGCCUGCGGCUUAAUUUGACUCAACACGGGACAACUCACCAGGUCCGGACAUUGGUAGGAUUGACAGACUGAUAGAUCUUUCAUGAUUUGAUGAUUGGUGGUGCAUGGCCGUUCUUAGUUGGUGGAGUGAUCUGUCAGGUUUAUUCCGGUAACGAGCGAGACCACGGUGUCUAGUUGAUGGCCGAGUCACGGCAGGGUAACUCCGAAGUGGACCCCAGGUUGUCGUUUUGCUGACAGUAGUUGAGACUAGUGAGAUGCUGAUGUGUGGCAGCAAUGUUGCAUGUUGGUGUUGCGUUGGUCGCUUCUAUUGAUUGGUAGAGCGGCGGCUAGGGUGUUCCAGUGUGACUCGGAUACUAGACAGACAACCGGAGAACCAAGCCGGGGGAAGCGUGGCAAUAACAGGUCUGUGAUGCCCUUCGAUGUUCUGGGCUGCACGCGCGCUACAAUGGCAGUGACAGAAAGGAGCCUAGUCGAAAGACUCGGCCAAACUGGAAUCGCUGUCGUGAUUGGGAUUGAGCUUUGUAAAUAGCUCAUGAAAGAGGAAUUCCUCGUAAGCGCGAGUCACUAACUCGUGUUGAAUACGUCUCUGCCCUUUGUACACACCGCCCGUCGCUACUACUGAUUGAAUUGGUUUUUGAAGCGCAAGGAUUGGCGGUCAUCUUUUUGACCUGCCGAGAAUCGCCCUAAAAAAAUCAUUCGAGAGGAAGUAAAAGUCGUAACAAGGCUU